Molecule: long non-coding RNA, 750 nt
Organism: Lucilia cuprina (Australian sheep blowfly)
Lineage: Eukaryota; Metazoa; Arthropoda; Insecta; Diptera; Calliphoridae
Exons: 2
Source: RefSeq, a predicted model, not a curated record
UCAGAUAUUAACCAAAUUCUAUAAGUACCUCCUUUAGGCCAAAAUAAGACUUUGUGCCAAAUUUCAACAAAUUAUCUUCAAAAUUGCGACCUGUACCGUGCUAGUUUUUUGGCUUUUGUAUGAUAUAGACCAUAAAAUGCAAAAAAUAUUGAUAUAGACCCUAAAACAAGGUCUUUUGUUUUCUUUAAAAAUUUAAUAGCUUUUGUUUAAUUGUACAUUAAGGUAUAAAAACUAACAGUUUUGUUUAAAAUAUAUGUACCAAAAUCAAUGGUGAAAAUUUAAAAAAUAUGUGUUGUGUAGGUUUUGAGAAAAUUUCGUGUAAAUUUUCUUUUGCGUUUUUCUCAAUAUAGAGGUUUUGGCGUAUGGAGCAAAACAAUAAUAUACUGACGAUAUAUAUGUGUUGUUUCUAGAUACCGUGCGAGUACUUUGAGUAAAAAUUUUACUUGCAUUUUGUUUUUGUUACAAUAACAAAAUACAAAUAAAUUUUUUGCUCAAAUUACUCGCAUGGUUUCUAGAAAUAACACAAUAACUUAACUACAAUUGAACUAUAACUGAACUGGAACUGAACUAAAAUGGACUAGAACUAAACCUUCACUGUAGUACAGUAACUGUACAUAUAAUUCGUUUGAAUUGAUGUUUCUGCUGCAAAUAUUAAGGACAAGAUUUUUAAAUUGUUUAACUGAUUGCUGUUGGUAUACAAUUUGUGUAUGUGACUUAAGAUCCAAUUACUUGACUUCGGAUAUUUAUUAA